RNAcentral lists this ribosomal RNA (253 nucleotides) under uncultured bacterium. RNAcentral's name for it is "partial 16S ribosomal RNA". It matches the Rfam family "Bacterial small subunit ribosomal RNA", at positions 524 to 776 of the family's 1533-position model. The record is from RNAcentral.
UACAGAGGGUGCGAGCGUUAUUCGGAAUUACUGGGCGUAAAGCGCACGUAGGUGGCGACGUAAGUCGGGUGUGAAAGCCCCGGGCUCAACCUGGGAAUUGCAUUCGAGACUGCAUUGCUGGAGUACGGAAGAGGAAGGCGGAAUUCCCGGUGUAGCGGUGAAAUGCGCAGAUAUCGGGAGGAACACCGGUGGCGAAGGCGGGUCUCUGGGCCGAUACUGACGCUGAGGAGCGAAAGCGUGGGGAGCGAACAGG